RNAcentral lists this ribosomal RNA (581 nucleotides) under bacterium E-1-48-1G. RNAcentral's name for it is "bacterial SSU rRNA". It matches the Rfam family "Bacterial small subunit ribosomal RNA", at positions 371 to 944 of the family's 1533-position model. The record is from RNAcentral.
AUGGGCGAAAGCCUGAUCCAGCCAUGCCGCGUGUGUGAAGAAGGUCUUCGGAUUGUAAAGCACUUUAAGUUGGGAGGAAGGGCAUUAACCUAAUACGUUAGUGUUUUGACGUUACCGACAGAAUAAGCACCGGCUAACUCUGUGCCAGCAGCCGCGGUAAUACAGAGGGUGCAAGCGUUAAUCGGAAUUACUGGGCGUAAAGCGCGCGUAGGUGGUUUGUUAAGUUGGAUGUGAAAGCCCCGGGCUCAACCUGGGAACUGCAUCCAAAACUGGCAAGCUAGAGUACGGUAGAGGGUGGUGGAAUUUCCUGUGUAGCGGUGAAAUGCGUAGAUAUAGGAAGGAACACCAGUGGCGAAGGCGACCACCUGGACUGAUACUGACACUGAGGUGCGAAAGCGUGGGGAGCAAACAGGAUUAGAUACCCUGGUAGUCCACGCCGUAAACGAUGUCAACUAGCCGUUGGAAUCCUUGAGAUUUUAGUGGCGCAGCUAACGCAUUAAGUUGACCGCCUGGGGAGUACGGCCGCAAGGUUAAAACUCAAAUGAAUUGACGGGGGCCCGCACAAGCGGUGGAGCAUGUGG